UGGACUCCUCGCUCAGCACAUCCGGGAUGCCCAGGAGCAGGACGGUCCUGGGGCAGCGGGAAGGCUGCAGCUGGGCAGAGCAGGGGGUUAGAGAUGUCUCCACUCAUGCAUGGUGAUAUUUUGAUUGUGUAUUUCCCUUUCCCGAUGGGCACCUGGAUAUGUCCUCUUUCAAUUAGCGGCUCUGCCACUGCAUAUGGAGAGGAAAGGCCUGAGCUGCCCAGCUCCCAGCUUCAUCUGCUCUCAGGAGAUUUCCCCCAGAGCAGGUCAGGCUGCUUCACCCUUGCCAGCCACCCAAGCUCAGCACACCCUCCGCACCUCCAUCCUGUGUGAAGGUCAGCACCACCUGACAGCACCUGGAGGAGACCGGACCCUGCACAGGGCAUGUCCCUGCCAAUCCACGGAUUAGAAAUAAACUCAUGGCUCAAAUUAACAGCUGGAGAACCUCA
This is a long non-coding RNA of Vidua chalybeata, 446 nucleotides long. RefSeq lists it as uncharacterized. The record is from RefSeq and is a predicted model, not a curated record. NCBI's taxonomy places the organism in Eukaryota, Metazoa, Chordata, Aves, Passeriformes, Viduidae. The transcript is spliced from 4 exons.